This 436-nucleotide long non-coding RNA is filed under the name Brassica napus (rape). RNAcentral's name for it is "long non-coding RNA (BNAP_LNC012272)". The record is from RNAcentral. Lineage: Eukaryota; Viridiplantae; Streptophyta; Magnoliopsida; Brassicales; Brassicaceae.
AGGGUUUACGUUUAGGGUUUACGUUUAGGGUUUAGAGUUGAUGUUUUAGGGUUUAGAUUUGAAGGUUUAGGGUUUAGGGUUUAGAGUUGAUGUUUUGGGGUUUAAGGUUUAGAGUUGAUGUUUCAUUGUUUAGGGUUUAGAGUUGAUGAUUUAGGGUUUAAAGUUGAUGUUUUAAGUUUAGAUUUAGGGUUUAGUGUUUACGUUUAGGGUUUAGAGUUGAUAUUUUAGGGUUUAGAUUUGAAGGUUUAGGGUUUAAGGUUUAAGGUUUAGAGUUGAUGUUUCGGGGUUUAGGGUUUAGUGUUGAUCUUUCAUUGGGGGUUUAGAGUGAUUUAGGGUUUAGAGUUGGUGUUUUAAGUUUAGAUUAGUUAACCAUAUGUUUUUUUUAUAAAAGUUAAUGAAAAAGUUAUAAAUGUCUUUUACCCUUAUUAAAAAUGAG